Long non-coding RNA from Lagenorhynchus albirostris (white-beaked dolphin), 1085 nucleotides. RefSeq lists it as uncharacterized. The transcript has 3 exons. NCBI's taxonomy places the organism in Eukaryota, Metazoa, Chordata, Mammalia, Artiodactyla, Delphinidae. The record is from RefSeq and is a predicted model, not a curated record.
AGGGAGGGAGGCUAUGCGGAGUUACCGAGAGCGACCUCGCAGCCGCACACCUUGAGCCCUCCCUGCCUGGGCUGUGUCUGCAGGACGCCCCUGCACCCCUGCACCCCGGCCGGGGUCAGCACAAGGUAGAGGUCAGGUGAACAAAAGGGGAAGGUCCCAAGGGUGUGCAGGCUCACACAGGCGAACGGCCCGGCCCGCACGCGAGACCCACACAGGCGGGGGAGGGGAGGGGAGGGGAGGGCUGACCCGAGGGGCCAGAGCAGGCGUGGCCCCCUCCUCGGAUCAGGAGCCGGCCUCACCUUUGCAGUCCUUAUAUACCCGGACAAGCAUCCCAAACACGCGCCCUGGCCAAGUGGCCCCUCGGGCUGUGCUCUCUGACCAUAUUUAGUCAAGCAGGGGAAAAAAUAGCCUGUCAGCUGGGCCGCGGCUGGCCGGCCACCGGGAACAGGGUGGGAGCGCCAACGCCAUUGACGGCCGGUCCUGGGCCCAGGCUGCCGGGCUCUUCCCCUCCCGGCCCCUCCCCACGGGCCUCCCACCGGCCGUCCCUGCCCUGCCAUCCCCCUGCUAUUUUUAGCCCAGCCCAGUACAGAGGCGCCUCGCGGCAGCCGGGCACACACCUCUCGGCCACACAGCCCGCUCCUAGGGGUGCCCUGGGGCGACUCGGCGGCUCCCGAGACCCGCUGCCCCUUCCCCAUCCUUGGCCUCCAGCGGGCUGGGCGCCACCGCUGCCCCCUCCGCUUGGCCCUUUAGCCCGGAACUGGGGCCCAAAUCAGGGGGUGAGGGAACGGCCAGUUUUCCAGAGGCUCCCAAGCCAGGCCCGUGAUGACGACAGGUCACCUUGGACAGAGAGCCAGCCCAGCUCUUCCAGACCAGGACGGGGCACAGGACUCCCUUCCCCGGAGAAGGGGUGGUGUGUGUGGACCGUCCCAGGGGUCCCCAAGGUCCCCAGGACCAAGCCAGACGACAGAGAGCUCCGUCCAUUUAUCCACACAGCCAGCUUCUACAGCUAUUCCAGAAGCUUCUCUGUGGAUUACCUCUAUCUUCAAAGCACCCCUAAGAGCCAACACAGUCUCUGCAACGGCCUC